RNAcentral lists this ribosomal RNA (397 nucleotides) under uncultured bacterium. RNAcentral describes it as "partial 16S ribosomal RNA". It matches the Rfam family "Bacterial small subunit ribosomal RNA", at positions 523 to 918 of the family's 1533-position model. The record is from RNAcentral.
AUACGUAGGGGGCGAGCGUUGUCCGGAAUGAUUGGGCGUAAAGGGCGCGUAGGCGGCCUGUUAAGUCUGGAGUGAAAGUCCUGUUUUCAAGAUGGGAAUUGCUUUGGAUACUGAUGGGCUUGAGUGCAGGAGAGGUUAUCGGAAUUCCUAGUGUAGCGGUGAAAUGCGUAGUGAUUAGGAGGAACACCAGUGGCGAAGGCGACUUACUGGACUGUAACUGACGCUGAGGCGCGAAAGUGUGGGGAGCAAACAGGAUUAGAUACCCUGGUAGUCCACACUGUAAACGAUGAAUGCGAGGUGUAGGGGGUGGCGACCCCUUCUGUGCCGCAGUCAACACAAUAAGCAUUCCGCCUGGGGAGUACGGCCGCAAGGUUGAAACUCAAAUGAAUUGGCGGGG